GAUGAACGCUAGCGGCAGGCUUAAUACAUGCAAGUCGAACGGUAAGUUUGGUAGCAAUAUCAAACCAAGAGUGACGUACGGGUGCGUAACACGUAUGCAACCUACCUUGUACAGGAGUAUAGCUCGGGGAAACUCGAAUUAACCCUCCAUGAGAUCACAGUGUGGCAUCACACAGUGAUUAAAACUCAGGUGGUACAAGAUGGGCAUGCGUCUGAUAGUUAGUUGGCGGGGUAAUGGCCCACAAGACGAUGAUCAGUAGGGGACCUGAGA
Molecule: ribosomal RNA, 270 nt
Filed under: uncultured bacterium
Lineage: Bacteria
Description: partial 16S ribosomal RNA
Rfam family: Bacterial small subunit ribosomal RNA
Source: RNAcentral